Cucurbita maxima (winter squash) is the source of this 538-nucleotide long non-coding RNA. RefSeq lists it as uncharacterized. The record is from RefSeq and is a predicted model, not a curated record. The transcript is spliced from 2 exons. Lineage: Eukaryota; Viridiplantae; Streptophyta; Magnoliopsida; Cucurbitales; Cucurbitaceae.
CACAGUGGCUCUGAGGACUCAUCUUCCCCUUCUUCAUUGAGUUAGUCCACACGAAAGCUAACGGACCCGAUUGUAUUAGACUUAAUGUUGUUGAUAAUGAAGAAAAAAAACUAUGUUGAUAAUAUGAAGUUGGAGAAGAAAAUAUCUUCAUCGUGUAAUUUUGGCCCUCUUUCCUUUUCGGGGUUUCUUCAUAUAAAUUGUAUUAGUCUUUUAAUGUCGUGUGAGGCUACAAAGAUUGAGAUGAUGAAGGAAAGAUUUUCUAAAUGGCAGCUUGGAGAAGAUAAGCGGAAAUGAGGCACUCUGUUUACGCAAUUGUAGCGAUUAGAACCUAUUCCACAAGAGAAGGGAGAUGGAUUGGCUUCUUUGUGUUAGCGAUCACAUUGUCGAGUUGACGCCUACUUGGCAGACAUUUCCUAAUGGAAGUAAACUUGAGGUACUACAUAACUUCAAACGAGCUCUUUAUGGCAAUAUGAGCUUUGUUUUUUAAGUAUGACGCUUACGCCUUUUGGGAUUGCCUGUCUAUUUAUUUUGUCUUCCA